GUGCUCACUUCAGUAGCAUGCGUACUAAAAUUGGAAGGAUACAGAGAAGAUUAGCAUGUCCCCUGUGCAAGGAUGACACGCAAAUUCAUGAAGCGUUCAGAUGUUUU
This is a small nuclear RNA of Suricata suricatta (meerkat), 107 nucleotides long. The record is from Ensembl. Lineage: Eukaryota; Metazoa; Chordata; Mammalia; Carnivora; Herpestidae.